UUUUAAUUUUAGAUUCAGCAUGCCAAAAUUACUAAAACAACUAAAUUUAUGUCUGAUGAGUCAUGAGUGAGUGAAAUACUUUUAACUUUUAAAAAUAACAAUUCCAUAUCGACUUCAGAGUUUAAUUGAAUCCUUAGGCCAGUAUUAAAUCAGUUGUUGCAGCAGUGAAACUUAAUUUGAAAUGUAUUCGGACUGAGACGAGGAAGACGCACUUGUGGCUGAAGAUGGUGUCCUUGAGAAUGACGCUGAGCAUAUAUUCUGGAGGCUAAAAGAGUACCCUUUUCUGCAUUGCCAUACUCCAUAUCGACAAGUUCCUCGCGAGGAAUAUAUUAUAAACAAUAACAUACGUAAUUUAUAAAAUGCGAAAUGUGUAUUAAGCUUACUAAGAACAAUAGCCACUGACUAGAGUCACUGUCAAAUUAUUCAUUUUUCAAAGCAAUAUUGAUUGAAAUGUUUCAAGAGCCGCUACUUUUGGC
This is a long non-coding RNA of Cylas formicarius (sweet potato weevil), 476 nucleotides long. RefSeq lists it as uncharacterized. The record is from RefSeq and is a predicted model, not a curated record. NCBI's taxonomy places the organism in Eukaryota, Metazoa, Arthropoda, Insecta, Coleoptera, Brentidae. The transcript has 3 exons.